Molecule: ribosomal RNA, 774 nt
Filed under: uncultured Neocallimastigales
Lineage: Eukaryota; Fungi; Neocallimastigomycota; Neocallimastigomycetes; Neocallimastigales
Description: partial large subunit ribosomal RNA
Rfam family: Eukaryotic large subunit ribosomal RNA
Source: RNAcentral
AGAGAGAGACAUGCGCGCAUAUCAAUAAGCGGAGGAAAAGAAACUAACAAGGAUUCCCUUAGUAACGGCGAGUGAAGCGGGAAGAGCUCAAAUUUGAAAUCUUCAAGGUUUUACCUUGACGAAUUGUAGUUUAAAGAAGUGUUUUCUGCUGAAGUUUUGGUAAAAGUUCUUUGGAAUAGGACAUCAUAGAGGGUGAGAAUCCCGUAUUUGACCAUUAUUUUCAGCUUUGUGAUACACUUUCAAAGAGUCGGAUUGUUUGGGAAUGCAGUCCAAAAUGGGUGGUAAAUUUCAUCUAAAGCUAAAUAUUGGCGAGAGACCGAUAGCGAACAAGUACCGUGAGGGAAAGAUGAAAAGAACUUUGAAAAGAGAGUUAAACAGUACGUGAAAUUGUCAAAAGGGAAGCGUUUGACACCAGUGUUGUUUUCUCGAAAAUCAAUUAAAAAUGGCUCGAUUUUGUAUUGUUGAGACCUUAAAAGCUCACUGUACAUUUUUCGUGUCUUUUUAAUGCACUUUUCGUUUAACAAGUCAACAUCAGUUUCUUUUGUUGUAAAAGGGUCAUUGGAAGGUGGCUUUCUUUUCGGAGAAAGUGUUUAUAGCCUUUGGCCUCUGCAAUCGGAGAGAUUGAGGUCUGCAGCGUAGACUCUUCGGGGUUAGAUACAUUUGUGCUAAGUUAUAGCUUUUUAUAGACAUACUUGUUGACUAUAAUUAGUCUUGUAGCUUACUCGCUUAUGCUAUUUUACCUACGCUUAGGAUGUUGAAGAUGUAGCACAUCAU